This 474-nucleotide ribosomal RNA is filed under the name Austrocarausius sp. 1 BRJ-2022a. RNAcentral describes it as "partial large subunit ribosomal RNA". The stretch from base 336 to 474 matches the Rfam family "Bacterial large subunit ribosomal RNA", at positions 2473 to 2612 of the family's 2925-position model. The record is from RNAcentral. Lineage: Eukaryota; Metazoa; Arthropoda; Insecta; Phasmatodea; Lonchodidae.
UAUUUAAUGGCCGCGGUAUUUUGACUGUGCAAAGGUAGCAAAAUCAUUAGUUUAUUAAUUGUGAACUUGUAUGAAUGGUUUGACGAAAUAUUAACUGUUUCUUAUUUAUAAUUAGAAUUUAAAUUUUGAGUUAAAAUGCUUAAUUUUAUUUUAUUAGACGAGAAGACCCUAUAGAUCUUUAUUUUUUAUAUAUUUUUUAAUUAGUAUUUUAUAAUAUAUUAAUUUUUUUNGUUGGGGUGACAUGGAGAAAAGAUUUAUUAAACUCUUUAUUUUUAUAUACAUUUAUUUUUGAUUAUUUGAUUUUAUUUUAAUAAUUUAAGAUUAGAUACCUUAGGGAUAACAGCGUUANUUUUUUUGANAGUUCUUAUUGACAAGGAANAUUGCGACCUCGAUGUUGGAUUAANAUUAUUAAAUGGUGCAGCAGCUUUUUUAAUAGGUCUGUUCGACCUUUAAAUUCUUACAUGAUCUGAGUUC